GCACUAGUGGUUCGGUGGUAGAAUUCUUGCCUUCCAGGCAAAAGACUGGGUUCCAUUCCUAGCCAGUGCA
RNAcentral lists this transfer RNA (70 nucleotides) under Loxodonta africana (African savanna elephant). It matches the Rfam family "tRNA". From Rfam's summary of the family: Transfer RNA (tRNA) molecules are approximately 80 nucleotides in length. Their secondary structure includes four short double-helical elements and three loops (D, anti-codon, and T loops). The record is from Rfam by way of RNAcentral. Lineage: Eukaryota; Metazoa; Chordata; Mammalia; Proboscidea; Elephantidae.